This 260-nucleotide ribosomal RNA is filed under the name uncultured archaeon. RNAcentral's name for it is "partial 16S ribosomal RNA". It matches the Rfam family "Archaeal small subunit ribosomal RNA", at positions 748 to 1009 of the family's 1478-position model. The record is from RNAcentral.
CAGCCGUAAACUAUGCGCGUUAGGUGUAUCGGUGACCACGAGUCACCGAGGUGCCGAAGGGAAACCGUGAAACGUGCCGCCUGGGAAGUACGGUCGCAAGGCUGAAAUUAAAGGAAUUGGCGGGGGAGCACCACAACGGGUGGAGCCUGCGGUUUAAUUGGACUCAACGCCGGGAAGCUCACCGGAUAAGACAGCGGAAUGAUUGCCGGGCUGAAGACUCUGCAUGACUAGCUGAGAGGAGGUGCAUGGCGUAGACGUCU